CAAGUAAAUCGCCUUAUCGCUGCGUUUUAAACGUGGAGGAAAGUCCGAACACCGUAGUGCAAUAUAGUGGUUAAUGGCCACCAGUUGUAAAAUUAGGAAAAGUGCAACAGAAAGUAUGUACAGGUAAUGCUGUAGUGAAAUCAGGUAAACUCUAUAUGGUGCAAUGUUAUGUAUACCAACGUUUAAGGGUUGCACGCCCAAUGUUGGAGGGUAGACAGCUAAAGUGUAUUGGUAACAAUGCACUCAGAUAAAUGAUAAGGGCUUUUGAACUAUUUUAGAUAUUCUGAAACAAGUUCGGAAUGCACAGAAUUCGGCUUAUAGAUUUACUUAAAUA
This 334-nucleotide RNase P RNA is filed under the name Seonamhaeicola marinus. RNAcentral's name for it is "RNase P RNA component class A". It matches the Rfam family "Bacterial RNase P class A". From Rfam's summary of the family: Ribonuclease P (RNase P) is a ubiquitous endoribonuclease, found in archaea, bacteria and eukarya as well as chloroplasts and mitochondria. Its best characterised activity is the generation of mature 5'-ends of tRNAs by cleaving the 5'-leader elements of precursor-tRNAs. Lineage: Bacteria; Pseudomonadati; Bacteroidota; Flavobacteriia; Flavobacteriales; Flavobacteriaceae. The record is from RNAcentral.